Molecule: ribosomal RNA, 444 nt
Filed under: uncultured bacterium
Lineage: Bacteria
Description: partial 16S ribosomal RNA
Rfam family: Bacterial small subunit ribosomal RNA
Source: RNAcentral
CCAGACUCCUACGGGAGGCAGCAGUGGGGGAUAUUGCACAAUGGGGGGAACCCUGAUGCAGCGACGCCGCGUGGGUGAAGGAGCGUUUCGGCGCGUAAAGCCCUAUCGGCAGGGAAGAAGAUGACGGUACCUGACCAAGAAGCCCCGGCUGACUACGUGCCAGCAGCCGCGGUAAUACGUAGGGGGCAAGCGUUAUCCGGAUUUACUGGGCGUAAAGGGAGCGCAGGCGGCGCGCCAAGUCUGAUGUGAAACCCCGGGGCUCAACCCCGGGCAUGCAUUGGAAACUGGCGGGCUGGAGUGCCGGAGAGGUAAGCGGAAUUCCUAGUGUAGCGGUGAAAUGCGUAGAUAUUAGGAGGAACACCAGUGGCGAAGGCGAUUUGCUGGGCCAUCACUGACGCUGAGGUACGAAAGCGUGGGGAGCAAAUAGGAUUAGAUACCCGGGUA